AAAAACUCCGGUGGUAUGAGAUGGGCCCGCGUCUGAUUAGCUAGUUGGCGGGGUAACGGCCCACCAAGGCGACGAUCAGUAGCCGACCUGAGAGGGUGACCGGCCACAUUGGGACUGAGACACGGCCCAAACUCCUACGGGAGGCAGCAGUGGGGAAUAUUGCACAAUGGGGGAAACCCUGGUGCAGCGACGCCGCGUGAGCGAUGAAGUAUUUCGGUAUGUAAAGCUCUAUCAGCAGGGAAGAAGAUGACGGUACCUGACUAAGAAGCCCCGGCUAACUACGUGCCAGCAGCCGCGGUAAUACGUAGGGGGCAAGCGUUAUCCGGAUUUACUGGGUGUAAAGGGAGCGUAGACGGCGGUGCAAGCCAGAUGUGAAAGCCCGGGGCUCAACCCCGGGACUGCAUUUGGAACUGUAUGGCUGGAGUGUCGGAGAGGCAGGCGGAAUUCCUAGUGUAGCGGUGAAAUGCGUAGAUAUUAGGAGGAACACCAGUGGCGAAGGCGGCCUGCUGGACGAUGACUGACGUUGAGGCUCGAAAGCGUGGGGAGCAAACAGGAUUAGAUACCCUGGUAGUCCACGCCGUAAACGAUGAGUACUAGGUGUCGGGCAGCAAAGCUGUUCG
RNAcentral lists this ribosomal RNA (620 nucleotides) under uncultured bacterium. RNAcentral's name for it is "bacterial SSU rRNA". It matches the Rfam family "Bacterial small subunit ribosomal RNA", at positions 202 to 842 of the family's 1533-position model. The record is from RNAcentral.